This 620-nucleotide long non-coding RNA is filed under the name Struthio camelus australis. RNAcentral describes it as "lncRNA (ENSSCUG00000008794.1)". Lineage: Eukaryota; Metazoa; Chordata; Aves; Struthioniformes; Struthionidae. The record is from RNAcentral.
UUGAGCAGUGUUAGAGUAGCGUUUAGAUUUACAGUCCAGUUUCCUGAUUUUUUUCUUCUCUCUUUUCAUUUUUUCCGUUUUUUUUCUUUCAGAAGCUUUAAAAAGCACUUUUGCAGUUUAGGAGAUGAGGAGCUACUUUCACUCCAGCUCAGUUUUGCUCCAGGUACUGAGUCAUUAGUUGUGGCAAAGUUUCCAUUUUUGGUGAGACUUGUGCUCCCACAACAGUCGGACAGUCUCUUAUCCAGGAUAUCUUGAAAACAUGAGCUAGGAUAAAGCUGAUGAACUGCAGCAUAGCUCCAUUAAAGCCCAUAGGAUAUUCCAGCUGACAGCAUCUGGGCUUUGGGUUAUUUUGUAGACAAGGUUUGUGCAAGCGUUUCCCUAAGUUGUCUUGUGAGUAUACUGUGUUUUGGAUUGACCUGUUUGGUGCAAACCUCUGAAUCACGGUUUCCCUUUCUGCAGGUGAAGGCGUUGUGUGAUCCAGCCGAGGCAGCACAGAGUGCACGGCUGGAUCCCGUCACGGCAGGAGCGCCUCUCCCUCGUGAUGCUCUAGCAGCCAUUUUACCACAGCUGAGGUGAACACUUUUGGAGACAUUACCAGGCUAGGUGGACUCUUGAUCCAG